RNAcentral lists this ribosomal RNA (471 nucleotides) under uncultured bacterium. Its description in RNAcentral is "bacterial SSU rRNA". It matches the Rfam family "Bacterial small subunit ribosomal RNA", at positions 28 to 514 of the family's 1533-position model. The record is from RNAcentral.
GACGAACGCUGGCGGCGUGCUUAACACAUGCAAGUCGAACGGUGACCCAGGGCUUGCCCUGGUGAUCAGUGGCGAACGGGUGAGUAACACGUGGGCAACCUGCCCCUGACUUCGGGAUAACUCCUCGAAAGAGGAGCUAAUACCGGAUACGACCACUUCGGACAUCCGAUGGUGGUGGAAAGUUUUUCGGUCAGGGAUGGGCCCGCGGCCUAUCAGCUAGUUGGUGGGGUAAUGGCCUACCAAGGCGACGACGGGUAGCCGGCCUGAGAGGGCGACCGGCCACACUGGGACUGAGACACGGCCCAGACUCCUACGGGAGGCAGCAGUGGGGAAUAUUGCGCAAUGGGCGAAAGCCUGACGCAGCGACGCCGCGUGAGGGAUGAAGGCCUCGGUUGUAAACCUCUUUCAGCAGGACGAAGCGAAAGUGACGGUACCUGACAGAAGAAGCACCGGCUAACUACGUGCCAGCAG